UACGGAGGGUGCAAGCGUUAUCCGGAUUCACUGGGUUUAAAGGGUGCGUAGGAGGGCAGGUAAGUCCGUGGUGAAAUCUCCGAGCUUAACUCGGAAACUGCCGUGGAUACUACCGGUCUUGAAUAUCGUGGAGGUGAGCGGAAUAUGUCAUGUAGCGGUGAAAUGCUUAGAGAUGACAUAGAACACCCAUUGCGAAGGCAGCUCACUACCCGAAUAUUGACUCUGAGGCACGAAAGCGUGGGGAGCGAACAGG
RNAcentral lists this ribosomal RNA (253 nucleotides) under uncultured bacterium. Its description in RNAcentral is "partial 16S ribosomal RNA". It matches the Rfam family "Bacterial small subunit ribosomal RNA", at positions 524 to 776 of the family's 1533-position model. The record is from RNAcentral.